GACAAAAAAUGUGAUAAGAUGAAGUUCAUCUUGCAGUUCAACUAAAGAACUAAAAUCCUACAUAACUUUUAGUGCUUGUGCUAAAGAACCCCAAAAUAGCUGUGGUGUGAUCAUUCUAUAUGGAUGAAUUGAUUGUAUUACCAACAAUAGCCAUUGAACUACACUCUGGUGUUGCAGCACAACAUGAGAACAAACUGCAAG
Molecule: long non-coding RNA, 201 nt
Filed under: Mytilus galloprovincialis (Mediterranean mussel)
Lineage: Eukaryota; Metazoa; Mollusca; Bivalvia; Mytilida; Mytilidae
Source: RNAcentral